This 1921-nucleotide long non-coding RNA is filed under the name Citrus maxima (pomelo). RNAcentral describes it as "long non-coding RNA (CMAX_LNC003260)". The record is from RNAcentral. Lineage: Eukaryota; Viridiplantae; Streptophyta; Magnoliopsida; Sapindales; Rutaceae.
CAACUCAUCCGGAUUUUGGCAUCAACAUUUGGCGCCAUCUGUGGGGACCGGUACGAGAAGCCAAAUUUUUGUCUCUAUCAAUUUUCAUCUAGUCGAAGCAAAUCAGAAUGUUACAGUGCAUAAAUGGAUGAGCUUGCUUAAACAAGGUAGCAAAAACCUUAAAUGAGAGCACAUUGAAGGCACACGUUUGUAGAAAUCAGAACAGGUCAGAAGUUAAAUUUUUAUUUACAAGUAAUUUUUUUAUGAAAAUUUAAUUAUUUCUCUAAAUCCUGCUAUGUGAUGUGAGGAUGCCUUAUAUUCAUUAAAUUGAUUGUGCUCAUAUUAGGGCUGACGGUAUAACUUAGUUAACUUGAUUUCUUGAAAGUUACUCAAUAUGAUAAUGAUUUAAGGAAAGAGAGUUAGGCUAGCGUUGAGAAGCCAAUCAAAGUUUACUAAUAAGGCAUGCAAAGGCUCACUAAGUCUCAAAGCCUGUUUAUGGCGAGACCAGAAGCCAAGCGUGCCAGGAUCUGCUCGACCAAGUGAAGGCGAACAGACUCCCAAGCGUUGUAAAAAUUCCUAAGGCAUGCAAAGGCUUACCAAAGUCUCAAAGCCUGUUUAUGGCGAGACCAGAAGCCAAGCGUGCCAGGAUCUGCUCGACCAAGUGAAGGCGAGCAGACUCCCAAGCGUUGUAAAAAUUCCUAAGGCAUGCAAAGACUCACUAAGUCUUAAAGCCUGUUUAUGGCGAGACCAGAAGCCAAGCGUGUCAGGAUCUGCUCGACCAAGCAAAAGUGAGCAGACCACUAAAGUUCCAAAAAGUUUCUAAGGCGUGCAAAGGCUCCAAAUUCUCAAAGCUUGUUUUAUGGCGAGACAGGAAGCCAAGCAUGCCAGGAUCUGCUCGACCAAGCGAAGGCAAGCAGACCACCAAAGUUUCAAAAAGUUUCUAAGGCGUGCAAAGGCUCCAAAGUCUCAAAGCCUGUUUUAUGGCGAGACAGAAAGCCAAGCAUGCCAGGAUCUGCUCAACCAAGCGAAGACGAGCAGACCACUAAAGUUUCCAGUCUUGAUUCGUUUCACUCUCAACACUAGAAACUGAGGGACUGGUGUUUAGGGAAUGAAAUAUGGUGACCAAGAUAAAGGUGUUUGCUCAUACAUUAUCGUGCUCUCCUCAAAAUAAAAGUGAGCAAAUGGUUGAGCAGAUCAUCUCGACCAGAAUAAUAUGUGGUGACCUCGAGCACAUCACCUCGACCAGAAUAUUAUUGGUCACCUCGACCAGAAUAAUAUGUGAUGACCUCGAGCAGAUCAUCUCGACCAGGGUGUUAUUGGUCACCUCAACUAGAGUAAUAUGUGGUCACCUCGACCAAGAGGUUAUUGGUCACCUCGAGCAGAUCGUCUCGACCAAGAUGUUAUUGGUCACCUCGACCAGAAUAAUAUGUGGUGACUUCAAGCACAUUUCCUCGACCAGGAAGUUACCAGGAAGCACGAUUCAGUCAAAACAGUUUCUCCGAAAUAUUAGGGACCAUAUUCUUAGUGGGCUGAAAAUUAAUAGUUUUCUUAAUAAUUCUAGGAGAGUGGAUAAACACCGCUAUAGUUUACUAUAAAAACCCUAGGAAGGGGAAGGAAAAUGGGGGAUUCUUCUAGCUCUUUCUCUCUCUCUGGGCAACUAAACCCAUUGGACCUUUUUCUCUCUCUACCACUGAGAAAUUUCUCUUUCGCCUGUGAUUUCUUUAAGAUUGAUCAUUUUGAAUUCUUUUCCUUUAAAUUUACUUAAAAACUUUUUGUUUAAAACAAUCAUAAUUAAGCCACAUGAAUUGUGGUAUGAGUUUUUUCAAGUAAGACCCGAAUCGUUGACUUGAGCGUCGGAAGGUUCUCGCCGAAAAAACUUUCGGCACCUCCUGACUAUUGGUUGUGUUCACAGGCUCACAGGUUAUCUGCUCAUGGAUCGUCU